This 72-nucleotide transfer RNA is filed under the name Ipomoea nil (Japanese morning glory). It matches the Rfam family "tRNA". From Rfam's summary of the family: Transfer RNA (tRNA) molecules are approximately 80 nucleotides in length. The record is from Rfam by way of RNAcentral. Lineage: Eukaryota; Viridiplantae; Streptophyta; Magnoliopsida; Solanales; Convolvulaceae.
GAUCUCAUGGUUUAGUGGUUAGGAUAUUGGAUUUUGAAUCUAGUAACCUGAGUUCAAAUCUCGAUGGGACCU